Molecule: transfer RNA, 101 nt
Filed under: Shewanella insulae
Lineage: Bacteria; Pseudomonadati; Pseudomonadota; Gammaproteobacteria; Alteromonadales; Shewanellaceae
Description: tRNA-Gly
Source: RNAcentral
GCGACAUUCGCUCAGUUGACUCUUUGUAUAGAGCAAAAGGGCGAUACCUUGCCAAGGUAUAGGUAAUCGGUUGUUUAUUUCGAACCCAAUAUGUCGUUCCA